GAUGAACGCUGGCGGCGUGCCUAAUACAUGCAAGUCGAGCGAACGGACGAGAAGCUUGCUUCUCUGAUGUUAGCGGCGGACGGGUGAGUAACACGUGGAUAACCUACCUAUAAGACUGGGAUAACUUCGGGAAACCGUAGCUAAUACCGUAUAAUAUUUUGAACCGCAUGGUUCAAAAGUGAAAGACGGUCUUGCUGUCACUUAUAGAUGGAUCCGCGCUGCAUUAGCUAGUUGGUAAGGUAACGGCUUACCAAGGCAACGAUGCCUAGCCGACCUGAGAGGGUGAUCGGCCACACUGGAACUGCGACACGGUCCAGGCUCCUACGGGAGGCAGCAGUAGGGAAUCUUCCGCAAUGGGCGAAAGCCUGACGGAGCAACGCCGCGUGAGUGAUGAAGGUCUUCGGAUCGUAAAACUCUGUUAUUAGGGAAGAACAUAUGUGUAAGUAACUGUGCACAUCUUGACGGUACCUAAUCAGAAAGCCACGGCUAACUACGUG
RNAcentral lists this ribosomal RNA (497 nucleotides) under uncultured bacterium. RNAcentral describes it as "partial 16S ribosomal RNA". It matches the Rfam family "Bacterial small subunit ribosomal RNA", at positions 28 to 507 of the family's 1533-position model. The record is from RNAcentral.